This is a non-coding RNA of Psilocybe cubensis, 93 nucleotides long. NCBI's taxonomy places the organism in Eukaryota, Fungi, Basidiomycota, Agaricomycetes, Agaricales, Agrocybaceae. The record is from the annotation of a RefSeq genome assembly.
GGCCUUAUGGUCUAGUAGCAUGAUUCUUCCUUUGGGUUGUCAAUUCAGACUCUCACCUGGAAGAGGUCUCGGGUUCAAUUCCCGAUGAGGCCC